UUAGGGCCGAAGUAAUGAUUGAUAGGGAUAGUUGGGGGUGCUUGUAUUGAACGGCCAGAGGCGAAAUUCUUGGAUUCGUUCAAGACAAACUACUGCGAAAGCAUUCACCAAGGAUGUCUUCUUUAAUCAAGAACGAAAGUUGGGGGAUCGAAGACGAUCAGAUACCGUCGUAGUCCUAACCAUAAACGAUGCCGACUAAGGAUUGGUGGGUGUCGUUUUUUUCAUGACCCCAUCGGCACUUUACGAGAAAUCAAAGUUUUUGGGUUCCGGGGGGAGUAUGGUCGCAAGGCUGAAACUUAAAGGAAUUGACGGAAGGGCACCACCAGGAGUGGAGCCUGCGGCUUAAUUUGACUCAACGCGGGAAAACUUACCAGGUCCAGACUCAGUUAGGAUUGACAGAUUGCAGAUCUUUCUUGAUUCUGAGGGUGGUGGUGCAUGGCCGUUCUUAGUUGGUGGAGUGAUUUGUCUGGUUAAUUCCGUUAACGAACGAGACCUCAGCCUGCUAAAUAGUCGGGCGAAUUUUAUUCGUUUUCCAUUUCCGACUUCUUAGAGGGACUGUCUGUAUCUAGCAGAAGGAAGUGUGAGGCAAUAACAGGUCUGUGAUGCCCUUAGAUGUCCUGGGCCGCACGCGGGCUACAAUGUUGCAUGCAACGAGUUUCAGUUCCCUCCUUGACCGAAAGGUUUGGGUAAUCUUUGAAAGUGCAACGUGCUUGGGAUAGACUAUUGCAAUUAUUAGUCUUCAACCAGGAAUUCCUAGUAAACGCGAGUCAUCAGCUCGCAUUGAUUACGUCCCUGCCCUUUGUACACACCGCCCGUCGCUCCUACCGAUUGAAUGAUCCGGCGAAAUCUUUGGACCGUCGCUGUGGGUCGGUUUUCCGACUUGCAGUGUAUGGGAAGUUGAUUAAACCUUAUCAUUUAGAGGAAGGAGAAGUCGUAACAAGGUAUCCGUAGGUGAACCUGCAGAAGGAUCA
RNAcentral lists this ribosomal RNA (971 nucleotides) under uncultured eukaryote. RNAcentral's name for it is "bacterial SSU rRNA". It matches the Rfam family "Eukaryotic small subunit ribosomal RNA", at positions 851 to 1828 of the family's 1831-position model. The record is from RNAcentral.